This is a non-coding RNA of Macaca mulatta (Rhesus monkey), 1111 nucleotides long. Lineage: Eukaryota; Metazoa; Chordata; Mammalia; Primates; Cercopithecidae. The record is from RefSeq and is a predicted model, not a curated record.
CUAAUCUGUGUGUGCUGUAGUGACCAGCGGCUCCUAACGUGUCUGUGUGAUGACCAGUUGUCCUCCAAAAACCUCACUCACCACGGAGUCCCCCUGAGGGCCCCGGGCAGUUGCCCCGGCCGCCCAGUGACGCCCACCGGCUCCCUCCGUUCCCUCCUGUCACCUACCAGGGCAGACCCCACUAAGCCGCUGAGUCCCUUCCUGGAAGACCCUGGGGGCCGAUAGCUUUACCUAGGACUCUCCAGGGUCGCUGAUCCUCCCUGGCCUAGGGCUGCCAGGACCAAGUUCCUCUCUGCAGGAUCUCACAGCAGCCCUGAGAAGACGUGGAAGGAAGAAGCCAGUGGCCCCGGCGUGGACCCUGCCCUUUGGACAUCCCAUGGACUUCUCACCCAGUCGCCUGGAAGUCGGGGAGCAGCAGCCCUGCCCCCGGCGGAGGGGUUGUUGCUUUCUGGGGAGGAGGACGGUUGACGGCCCUGCCUGGAUCCACCACCAGGACGCUGUGCUCGGCCACGGCGCGCCUCCCCCAAGGGCUCAUCCAUGCAACAACCACAUGCCAACGAUAGCUCCAGGUGCCUCAGUCCAUGCCCUGACCCAGGGACCACAGGGACACCCUCUGAGACGUGCUGGCCCUGGGAGGAUACAGGCACACGGGCACCUAGCCCCUCUCGGAGCCAGGCAUGUCUUGACGGUGUCUGCUAACAGGAACAAGUCAUUCUGAAAGGUCCCUCUGACCCAGGUCACCAAAUUUGGGCCAGAACUGGCAUUUCUCCUGAGUACCCACUGGUGCUGGCGUCCUCACAGUGCUGGGCGCCAAGUUCAGCCCCAGGCGCGUUUGCCUAAGCAGUGCUGGCUGCCAUCUCUCAGGGCCCAGGCCCUCACGUGAAGGGCUGCCUCACUCUGUGGUGUCAGGCAUUGGACUGUGUCCUGAUUCCUCAGAAUAUGGGGACCUGAUAUCUUUGGGUCCCCAAGAGUUGGCUCUUGGAUGUGGGGGCUUGAUGCCGCGGUUGGCGGCUGCAGUAUCUGGGUCCAGGGAAGCCACUGCCUCAGCAGGGACAGCCUCUCCCGCUGCAGGCCCUGGGCAGCCCACAGUAGUGCUAGCUGAGGCCCAGAG